Molecule: ribosomal RNA, 1766 nt
Filed under: Phacus skujae
Lineage: Eukaryota; Euglenozoa; Euglenophyceae; Euglenales; Phacaceae
Description: bacterial LSU rRNA
Rfam family: Bacterial large subunit ribosomal RNA
Source: RNAcentral
CAGUGGGGGAUAAGCUUCAUUGUCAAAAGGGUAAUAGCCCAGACCCCCAGUUAAGGCCCCAAAAUAACUACUAAGUGAUAAAGGAUGUAUUGGUACAUAGACAACCAGGAGGUUUGCUUAGAAGCAGCCAUUCCUUUAAAAAUAGCGUAAUAGCUUACUGGUCAAGUGCCUUUGCGCCGAUAAUGAACGGGGCUAAGUAGUUUGCCGAAGCUGUGGGUAAAUACGGUAGAAGAGCGUUCUGUUUAGGUUGAAGUAAUAGUGAAAACAGUUAUGGACUUAACAGAAGUGAGAAUGUCGGCUUAAGUAACGAAAACAUUGGUGAGAAUCCAAUGCUCCGAAAACCCAAGGUUUCCUUCGCAAGGUUCGUCCUCGGAGGGUUAGUCAGGUCCUAAGAUCAGGCCGAAAGGCGUAGUCGAUGGAUAACAGGUUAAUAUUCCUGUACUACAUGUAUUUGCGUACGGAUGACGAAGAAGGCUAAACUUACCAGAAUUUGGUAUUUCUGGUCUAAAUUCUUAAGGUGUUGAUAAAAAUUAAAUAAAAAAUUUUUUGAGCUGAAAAAUGAAUGGUAGAGUGUUACGACAUUUGAAAAGUUGAUGUCAUGCUUCCUAGAAAAAUCCUUGUGCGUGCAAAUAUUAUGUACCUGUACCGUAAACUGACACAGGUGGGUAGGUAGAGUAUACUAAGGAGCGCGAGCUAACUCUUUUUAAGGAACUCGGCAAAAUAGUCUUGUAACUUCGGGAGAAAAGAUGCCUUGUCUAAUACACAAGGUCGCAGCGACCAGAUCUAGGCGACUGUUUACCAAAAACACAGGUCUCAGCAAAGUCGAAAGACGAAGUAUUGGGGCUGACGCCUGCCCAGUGCUAGAAGGUUAAAGAAACUGGUUAGCUUUUGCAAAGCUGGUGACUGAAGCCCUAGUGAACGGCAGCAAUAACUAUGAUUGUUCUAUGGUAGCGAAAUUCCUUGUCGGGUAAGUUCCGACCCGCACGAAAGGCGUAACGAUCUAGAAACUGUCUCAAAAAGAGGCUCGGUGAAAUAGAAUUAACUGUGAAGAUGCGGUUAACUUGCACUUGGACAGAAAGACCCUAUGAAGCUUUACUGUAACUUGAUAUUGAUUUUGGACUUUUUUUGCGCAGUAUAGGUGGGAGGCUUUGACGCUUUUUCUCGGGAAAGUUGAGCCAACAGUGAGAUACCACUCUGAAAAAGUUAGAAGUCUAAUGACAUUUCUUUUGAAUCAGAAUGUUUGACAUUGUCAGGCGGGCAGUUUUACUGGGGCGGUAGCCUCCUAAAAGGUAACGGAGGCGUACAAAGGUUUUCUCAGACUGGACGGAAAUUUGUUGCAGAGUAUAAAGGCAAAAGAAAGCUUAACUGUUAGACUUACAAGUCAAGCAGAGACGAAAGUCGGUCUUAGUGAUCCGACGAUACCGAAUGUAAGGGUCGUCGCUUAACGGAUAAAAGUUACUCUAGGGAUAACAGGCUGAUCUCCUCCAAGAGUUCACAUCGACGAGGAGGUUUGGCACCUCGAUGUCGGCUCAUCGCAACCUGGAGCGGUAGUACGUUCCAAGGGUCGGGCUGUUCGCCCGUUAAAGCGGUACGUGAGCUGGGUUCAGAACGUCGAGAGACAGUUCGGUCCAUAUCCGGUGUGAGCGUUAGAAUAUUGAGGUAAGAUUUUUCUAGUACGAGAGGACCGAAAAAUACACACCUCUGGUGUACCAGUUUUCAUACCAAUGAAAAAUGCUGGGUAGUCAUGUGUGGAGUGGAUAACUGCU